CGUGCGGGCAAAAGCAAGCGAUGGCUCCCAGCAGCUUAAAGGGAAGGGGGAGUGAAGCAGAAGGCUACCCGAAAACCUGAAUCGGACAGCUUGGGGCUACCAGUCAGCCUUCGCCCCAGGUGUUAAACGUGCGCCCCGCGGUCGGACCGACGAGGACGACACAGAGGCUGCGCCCAAGGAGCCCGUCCGGAGGCAGCCCCUGGAAAACCCCAGCAGCAACGCUCCAGCUGCUGGGAAGGGGCGCUCGCUGGCGCCAUUAGGAAAGCUGCGCAAAGGUGCACGCCACGUUCGGCUGCAAGACAGCGCCAGGGCGCAGCCGUCCCCAAAGAGGCUCUCGGGAUUAUGUAAACCGAAGCGUGUGAUGCCACGACCGGCGAACGCACAUCCGCCACGUUUCCCUCCUCCGUCCAGGAGCAACUGGCUUUCUGGGUUGGGCUCAAAGUUUCUGGAUGUGAUGCAGCCGGGGAGUUUAUAAACGUGCUCCCGACCAAUUUACGCUCUGAGCCGAAGUCAGAUUAUCCCAGUUUCAGCACACGCUGAUCCAAUUUGCAGAAUAAGAGAUCUCCCCCCAAAUGAUCCGCGAAGGCAGCACCCGAUUCCAACAGAAGGCACGUCACGGGAAAACUUACGACCUGGGUCAUUAUGUUUUUCCCGGUUAUGAUAAUGAGCGGUAGACCAUCUCGUUAGCUAUUUUUCUCCUCAGGCUGUAAACUCCCUUCCCAAAAAAGACAGAUCGUGUCUUUCUAGGUAUAUUUCCAUACAAAACCCUUAUUAACAGGCUGUUGCUGUUAUCAAUUUACAUAAACUACAUGUGCAGCCCUCUGGUACGUAUCCCAAAAAUAACCAACAACUUCACUGAAUUUAUACCAAGCAACAAACAUGGGGAGGGGGGUUGUUGUUUUUUCCCAUAUUUUAAUAGAAAAUAUGUUGCUAUGUUAGUUAACACACCCAUGCCAUCUGUUGGGUUGCGAAUUGAUGCGUUUUCUUAGAACCGCUACGUUUUAGGUCUGUCUGCCCAGAUCCGUCUGCCUAGAUACCCCAGGAAUGGAAAAGGCUCUCUCCCAUGAUAAAAUGCUUCCAGUCAUUAUGAUUUCCGAAUCAGGAAUCAAUUCACGUUUUUAAUCGUGGGCCAAACUGGUAGGACCUAGUUACCCAAAGUCGGACCUCGUGCCGGGUCUGACUCUGUGUCUACCCGAAACAGCGGAGAAAAUGCCAGUGAUGUUCGGGAGGCAGCAUCAGGUCUCCACACAGGUUUCCAAGAAAGCAUUUCACGGGUAGAUAUGAACAUGUACUGAAAACCCAGAUAAAUACCUGGAAAGCCAUUUCUGCCUCAUUAUGCAAUGAAUUGUGGAUGCUAGUCUUUUUGCAUGAUGCGCGCAAAAGCCAACAUUUCAAGCUAUCUACACUACUUUAAAAUCGUAAUAGUAGAGAAAAAAAUUGGUACUUGCUACAGUAAUGCCUUUACAGCGGUAGGUGUAAGAACAAGCACGGUUUCCAAACUGUAUAUAAACUCCCUGCCAAGAAGGGUCAAGCCAGAAUUUUUAAAAGACCAGUGAAAGAAAUGAUUCACUCUGCUUUUCACGUGAGAACUACAGCAUCAGACAAUACUCUGUCACAAACGAAUAACCGAUAAAGAAAUAAACCUACAUGUUAAAUUACCUUACUGCAUCCCAAGGCGGUUUGGGAUGAUUAUAUCCCAGUUAGCGCCCAGGUUCCCAGGAGCUGGGUACUUUAUUAAACAGAAGAAGAGAACACGACAACGGGCAGCUCCUAUGCUAAGCAGCGAUAUUAUUAAAAAUACGUUACAUUUGCAACUUUUGCUGGAAAACCCACUCGGUGGCUAUUUAAACAUCACCACAUUGGUCAACGUGGCUACUUUUGCAUCUGUUGUGUUUGAUUGUGAGGAGGACACGGGAAGAUUUUCAUUACCACGUACGGCUAUACCAACUGGAGGAGAUAAAGGUUGCGGUGACGCAGCAUCGCAGACAAAUCAGCCGCCACCAAGACGCACAGACCCCGAAAUUAGAGAUGGGAACGCACGUGUAGCCGGUUCAAUUGGCACCCAUUAAAGCUAAUAACUAACCAUCCUCACAAGUUUCUAGCUCUGCAUUAUCAAAUCUGCAAAGAAAACAACAUCCGUCCACUUUUACACUCCAGUGGAAGAGGUGGUCCCUCGCGGCAGGGCUGCACAGUCUCGCCAUCUGGAGAAUAAAUCGAGUGUGAAGUACAGUAUAGUUUGGGACCAAGCUCCGUGGCGGCAGCCCAGCAGUUAGUUCAUUAGUUCCAAACUUCCAGGGAUUAGUGCGGUAUCAAUUCUGCUGUCGGAUGGGAUAAAGCAGGCAGAAUACGAGAUUCGAGGAAGAAUGUGACAACUCAGGAGGAGCCCCGUGGGCUUAUUUCGAAAACGUACGGAGUAUAAACGCACCUAAAGAAAAGCCUAAGAGAACACGAUUAUCGGAGUCUCGUAACAUCUGAAUCAGUACCUUUCCUUCUUUUCUUCUCUUCCUUUUUUUCUUCCUUUUCCUUUAGGUUAUAAUGUCAACAUAUAGAAAUUUCAGCUUGGAAACAGGAGGAAUGCCACAGAACUGGAAGCUCACCCACCCACUCAUCCUGGACGCUGUGUUAAUAAAGCAAUAAUGAAACAAAGAUGUUCAGAUUAACAGAGUUUGGGGGCCUGGAACAGCAGAGAGAAAAAAAAUCAUUUUCUGCUUUCUUUGGAAACUGGUAAUAUACCCCCACAAACCAGUUUUCCAGCACUGCGAUUUCCCGAACUGCCUGAUUUUGGGGAGAAAAGGGAAAGGCAUAUAUCUGCAUAAAUAUGUCCUGUUCCUUUUGAGUUGUAUCCCUGUUUUGCCUCACCUUUCUGGCAUACUCUUGCCCCCUUUCUUUUGAGACCUUAGGGUCACAAUGUAAAGACAGUGAGUAUACCUAAAGAUGUGUUCAUGCAUAGGUCUCAUCCCGUUAACAUCUUCGUAUAGUAAUUCAUACAGAAAUGUAAACAUAUGACUAAAUGCACUAAAAUGGCAGGCCAGAAUGUAUCAUCCUCAUGGCGAUAAGAAGUUUGCAUGUUUCAAAUGGCAGCAGAAAAAUUAAUUACUGUACUCACAGUUCAAGUCAUUUUUUUGUGACGGGUCUGACACGAUAAAAACAUACAAUUAUGUGUUAAUGUUACUUCCCUGGAGUGGUUUGUUUAGAGAACUCGACAUUGCUGAAUCUUUUGUCCCUUAUAUUAGUCCAUGCCGCACAACUCUAGAUGUUGCCUUUCUCACGUAAGACUCUGCAAAAGCGCACAUACAUUCCCAUAAUGUUACUUUGGCAAAACUGAGUGUUUGCAGAGGGAAAUCCUGACAUUUUUUACAUGCUUAGUCUCCUUCAGUGAAGUGAUGCCAUACAGAAUGGUGCAUGACUUAGCUUCAAAUUCACAAAUGGGACUGGCAGGAGAAAAGAAAAAUUACAUUUGUUUUCACGGAAACAAAGAAGACCAGAAAGGCACAGCAGAAUGUUUCUGCAACCAGGAAAUACUUGUUCAUGACACCUGUCUUCUACUCGUGUCAGAUACUUGUAAGAAUAAAUCUUUAAAAUGGUAAAUAUUUAUUCCCAGUUAGUCUUGUUAGACUGAAAAACUGUCAUUAAAAAUACAUACAUUGCAAAAGCUUCUAGAAGCUGCUAUUAAAUCAUUUAUUUUAGUUACCUUCUUGGCCAGUUAAUCAACUCGGGGGUUUUUUAAGACCUACGAAGUUUUAAAACACAUUUUCUUUCGGUUUAACAGGGAACAUGCCAAAACCAGCACGCACUCCUAAAGGAAAGAAGUGGCAGGAGUGAGGAGGUGGAGGGACAGUAAGGCCACCAUAGGAUACACCUCUAUUUCUCCUCUGCAAUUUAGGCAAACACAAGUUUUAGACAACGGACAAGAUCUCUUAAGGCUGCCUACGCAUCACUGGGGGCUGCUUGCUGCCGUGCAACCUUAGCAAGCAUCUCCCCUCCUCCUUCUGCCAGCGUGGACACUGUGGACCCUGGAGAUGUUCGGUGGAGAUUAUCUGAUAUCAUCCGAGUUGGACAAUUUCCAGAUAUGACCAUCGGGCAAUGGUUUGCCUCAAGAGGCCAGAAAAGUGGGGAACCACACAAUAAGGGUUUUUGAGUUAGACCAUGGCAGCAGGCCCGAACCCAGAGCGGACGGCUCCCCAUAUCGCUUUCCGGGGGCUCAGUGACGCAAGCACCCCAUUGCUGCUGAGCCAGGAGACCUGAGCAUGAGGAAACUACUGCAAGAGCAAGACAUUUUUACAAACUGUGUUUAAGAUAUUUUUCAUACUUGCAGAUAUCGUAUAAAAAUGUAAAUAGAGGCCAGUGUGCUGCUAGUAUGAAUCGGCACUUGGAAAUAUUAACAUAGCAUGAAGACUUAAUAUAAGUCCUUCUGUUUGUGGUAAUAACGAUGCAGCAUUUUAUGUGUGUGUGUGUGUGUAUGCAUAAAUACAGAGACAGACUUAGAGCUUGAGACUGUGUGUACAAUCCUAUUUUAAACACUUUUUAAUGAUAGUAUCAUAUACAACAGCUCCAAUAAAAGAAAAUUUUGUUCCCGUACGUAGGCAGCUAUUCUUUUGUCUGCCAACUUUUAUAAACACUUACGAAAGAGAUGUAAACAACCUUUCAAUUAAGACAAAUCAAGCUAACACUAAUUUAAGCUGGCUGCAAGAUGCAGUCUCUUUACUUUUUCCCCAGGCUUUCUGAGGAUGCUUUUCCUUGUGUGACAGAUUAGCAUCACAAACGAAAAUGCUUUAGAAGCAUUAGUGUUAAUUAGUCUUCCUGGACCAUCUGAAUGAGCUGUUGCAUGACGAAAUGAGACCACAAAAUAUUCAAUCUGAUGUAAUCAAUAAAAAAAAAUAGCUACACAUUUCUUACACAGGGCACAAGAACUUAGCCAUAUGUUAUGGUUGUUUUUAUUUAAAAAAUAUUCUGGUUUAAGACAUAUUGUCUUGGCACAACAUGUAAUACAUGAUUAGGGAAAAUGUUCACAUCUAGGCAUCCAUUUAUUAUUUUUGUAAAUGUAUUUUUUUGUUAGUGCUGGUAAUGAAAUAUAUUAUUCUACAUUCUGUCAAAAGUACAUCUACUUUAGCAAACUGUUAAUUCCUAUUCAGUAGCUGAUUUUAGAAGUGAUGACUCUAAGUGAGAUACCGAUCAAACAUUUCAAAGAUGAGCGACUGUCCCUAUCAAAAGCCAUCUCAUUAACUCUUCAAUUAUUGAUAAAUUGUUUGGAAAAAAUAGUUAAAACUAAACAUGACAAACAUUAAACAAUGGGAAAGGUUAAAGGCAGAAUAAAGGGAAAAUAAAAGUUUAACAGAAAAAAAGCCAACCGGGAGACUGAAUCUCAGGAAAGAUCUUCUCGAUUAAAAAAGCACCUGCAGUACUCCUCAAACUGUAAGACAGUUCCUAAGCAGAAAGGGAGGAAGGCCAAAGGCUUAUGCCUGUUCGCACCUAAAGAGCCGACGUGUUAGUCCCAGGCUGCUCAGAACCACCUAUGAAUGUAGAAGGCAUUAAGAAAAAUUAGGUAGAGUGUGGCACGGCUUUGUUCCCUCGCUCUCUUUUUGGAACAAACUUUUCCCAAUCUACCCACAAUCUCAGUAAAACUAGGUGUUUUAAAGAGAAAACUUGGAACAAUCAUGCUUUUUUUUGAACUGUAAAAAUACUGAUCAACAGCUCUGCGACCACCUCUCACCUCAUUUUUCAUACAGUAGUUUUAUCUGCACUGGUAAACUAGUAAAUGAAUAUUUUGUAAGGGAGCAAAAUCCUAAGGAAUUCCUUAAAUGCAAGGGCUUACAGGUCAUGACCACACUGUGUAUGACUGAAUGCUUGCAUAAGAAAAUCUCUUAUCUCAUCAUCUUCAACUCACAUUUUAAAGUUAAAUGGUGUCAUCUUGUAGAUGCAUGUGUUUCCAUGCAACGGAUUUAGCAUAGGAUUUAUGACACCAACUGAUCACUCAGAUGUCAUACGCUGAGCAAGGCACACCAUGAAGUGCUCCCACCAGACGGGUCCUUGCACUAUCUGGAACAGGAGUUCUUAAACCUUCUCAUUUCGUGGGCAGCUUCUCAAGGCAGAGAUUUUCUCAUGCAGUCCUGUCCUCCCUUGUGAAACUAAAUGAUUGAUCUUAAUUUCUUGUCCCUAUGGGAACACCCAUGCCAUCUGAUAACUUAGCUCCCACUUCACUUGGAGAUCUUGGGCCCCGACUGCCCACAAGACGUUAACUGCUAGUUUACAUCCUGACUCUCCUCUGGAGUGAAUCAGCUAUUUCCUCCAAACCAAAAUGAAAGUGUGGUUCUAGAGGCGGCUCUCUCCAGAGAUCACCCCCAAAAAGCAGUAUGGACAAGAUGGCACCAAGUGUGGCUCCUUCCACUUUGCUCAGCCAGGCCUUCAAACACUCACACGUGCUGUCGUGCUAUGCCCCAGGGCAUGCAAUACAUAUCCUUAGCUAAAUGUUAAAAAUAGCCCACGUUAAGCGUACGCACCGCUCAUCUUAUUUCAGAUGUUCAAACAGAAAAAUAAUUACACUCUAGGUCCAUCUGCACACCACCGUAAGUCAUGGGGAGAUCCAGAGCCACUUGCUAUGUACCUGUCACGGCAGCUAGUCCGCUCCAGAGGGUCACCCCUACGCAACGUGGACAUGAGCCCCUCUGCCCCACUAGGCCUGGGCAGCAGGCAUCACUCCCUGGAGCAGCUGCAUUUAGUGUUGUAGAAGUAGCCUAUAAUUAUACUAAUUACUUCUAUGGGAGAGUAAUGUUAGGAGAGUAUGAACAUAAUUUUAGAUGCCUUCAUGUUCAGAAGCUUGAAAGUAGAGGCCAGAAGCACUGAAGAGAGAGCUCUCCACAGGGUCGUUCAUGUUGUUCAAUAUGGGAAACUUUGAUCUAACCAGCUUUACACUAAAUUGACACAACUCUUGCCUUCCUGCAAAGCAGACUUGUUUUGUACAUGUAUUUCCCAAUUAGUGCUUACCUUAAUGAGGACAAACCUCACUUCGCCAGAUUUUGCCAGAAAUCCUUCUUCCUUCCCUACUGGAAGGGCUUCCUUCCUCAGAUGUUCCUAACAACUUCAUGAGGCCAUUUACAGCUGUUCAGUCUGGGGGCAAGAGCACAAAAAUGACGGCACGCUCCGUCUCCCCCUGAAGUGGCAGAGAGGAUACAGCACCAAAAUGCCACAUCCUGCAUGUCUCUGCAUCAGCAGUGACUAGCUGAUGCAGAAACAGAGCCCUCAUGUAUAAAAUAAGAUUAACUCUGUGACUCAUGCAUUCACCGCAAGGAGUAAGGACCUUUUUAGAAAUGACUUCACUUGUUUUCUGUGGUCUAAAUCAAAUCUGAUGAUGUGAAUUUGUCCCUGCCUAGACCUAUGAUCAGUGUUAAACAAGUGAUUUUCUUCAGUGUGAAAGUGGAACCCAAGCUGGUGGUUAUUUUCUACGUCAAAUCUUCCCUGAGCCAAUCUUAUGUUCACAAUAUUUGUACAUCACUAAUAUAAGUGUAUUGUACUUUCCUGGUACAAUAUAACACACAUCUUUACAGACAUACAGAGGAAUCUUAAUUGUUUAUUGGUGUUCCUCAAAACCUUCUUAAGCUCCUCAUUCAGAUAUUCCUGACUACCCUGGAACAAAUUACUGGAACUAGCCACAUUUCUUUCUUUAAGCUUUUCUUCAACUGUACUUUUUUUCUAAUAAAAUCAAUUAUUUUUAAUGCUAGCCUGCCUGAGGAGGUGCUCCUUAGCGGAGCUUCUGGAAUAUCUGCAAGGUUUAAAGGUUAGUGCAUAUUCCUCAAGAAAAGGAUUAGAUAAAAGCUACGUAUGUUGAUUUCUUCAAGAUCUAAGCAGUUCCUACCCCUCUUCUGCCUCUCCUACUUAUUCCCACUCCAUGCCACAGAUUUUUUUCCCCCACCCUAGCACUUCCAAUACAACUGUUUCUUGAGCCAAGAUGCAAACUGGAGCACUGAAGCAAUCAUACUAGAAAAACCCAGGUUUGUUUUACUUCUGAGUGGGAGAAUGGGGAUUUUUUAAAGCCCGAACGUUUCAGCGUUCCUGUCUACAGCAUGGCCACACAAACACCUGCAUCAUUGCGAGCAAGGGGGUUGCAAAGGAUGGCAUAAGCAGCUAGGAGUGACAGCAACUCAAAGAGGCACUUCUUCAGCUGUUUUCUUCCAUCAGCACCAACAAUUUGCACAGCUGCCCCUAGAGAACUAGAGUCAACCAGCUAAGCAGCCAAGAUUUCACACUACGGGCAUGCAGGAAAGGUGCAUCUUCAGGAAAGCCACCAGGUUCAGACUCAAAUGUGUUUUUUCCUCUCUGAGUUAAUUAAUUAUAGAAAUCUGGCCUUCUUUUUGAGGGGGCCUGGCUUGUGAGUUUGUAGACUGAAUUGCCAGAGCCGUCACAACCUCUAGCUUUCCUACUUGUUUCUGGCUAAUCGAGAGAGGCAGGAUUCAAGCAAGCCCCUGCAACCCAUAGCAAGCAUCAUUCACAGCCCCUAUUCUUACAUACAUACCUAUUUACCUGUAAGGUUACCUAAGCAUGACUGACUGGGGUCUCUGAAAUCAGCACGCUUUGUUAAAUACUUGACAUGCUGACUGCCACAGCCUUUGCCUUAACUUAAAGUCGCUCCCUUCAUAACCUUUUUUCGAGAUCUGAAUGUGUCGGCUCUUUCACUUGUGUUUCCACUGCCUGCUGUUAGAUACAUCCAAGUUCAAACCCAAUACGGAUCUCAUUUACCUCAAGCAGUCUGCCUGACUUCAAGCGCAAACUCCUCAGACCUGGCUUAUCAAGUAUUUUCCUUCACGUUUUGGACAAUGAUUCAGCCUAACGUCCUAUCAAUAUAAGACUAGUAAGACACAUACGUACACAGCAAAUGUUGUCUAAUAAAUGCUGGAGCUGGCCUUGACGACCCUGCUUUUGUACUGAUUUAACUAUUUCGGAUUUAGUUAAUAUCAAUAACAUUAAGGUGAUGCAAAGCUUCGGCAGGCAUCUAUUUACCAAAAUGCUGAUAGUGUAUUUUAUUUUCCUAUGUGAAUGAACUUUACGGACAAUAAAGAUCUUGUAGCACUAUAAUUGCAUUCA
Long non-coding RNA from Struthio camelus australis, 9075 nucleotides. RefSeq lists it as uncharacterized. Lineage: Eukaryota; Metazoa; Chordata; Aves; Struthioniformes; Struthionidae. The record is from RefSeq and is a predicted model, not a curated record.